This 24-nucleotide microRNA is filed under the name Brachypodium distachyon (stiff brome). RNAcentral's name for it is "bdi-miR7711-3p.4". The record is from miRBase by way of RNAcentral. Lineage: Eukaryota; Viridiplantae; Streptophyta; Magnoliopsida; Poales; Poaceae.
UAUCCUAGCCAUAAAAUUCAGUAU